UCCUACGGGGGGCAGCAGUGGGGAAUAUUGCACAAUGGGGGAAACCCUGAUGCAGCGACGCCGCGUGAGUGAAGAAGUAUUUCGGUAUGUAAAGCUCUAUCAGCAGGGAAGAAAAUGACGGUACCUGACUAAGAAGCCCCGGCUAACUACGUGCCAGCAGCCGCGGUAAUACGUAGGGGGCAAGCGUUAUCCGGAUUUACUGGGUGUAAGGGGAGCGUAGACGGCCAGACAAGUCAGAAGUGAAAGCCCAGGGCUCAACCCU
RNAcentral lists this ribosomal RNA (262 nucleotides) under uncultured bacterium. Its description in RNAcentral is "partial 16S ribosomal RNA". It matches the Rfam family "Bacterial small subunit ribosomal RNA", at positions 337 to 616 of the family's 1533-position model. The record is from RNAcentral.